GGACGGCUAGCUCAGUUGGUUAGAGCGACUGGUUUACACCCAGUAGGUCGCAGGUUCGAGUCCUGUGCCGUCCACCA
Molecule: transfer RNA, 77 nt
Filed under: Opitutia bacterium
Lineage: Bacteria; Pseudomonadati; Verrucomicrobiota; Opitutia
Also listed under: 2 other names
Description: tRNA-Val
Rfam family: tRNA
About the family: Transfer RNA (tRNA) molecules are approximately 80 nucleotides in length.
Source: RNAcentral